GGGGUAUUGGCCGAGUGGACGAAGGCGGCAGUCUUGAAAACUGUAGGGCGUGUGAACGUUCCCAAGGUUCGAAUCCUUGAUGCCCCG
Molecule: transfer RNA, 87 nt
Filed under: Caudoviricetes sp.
Lineage: Duplodnaviria; Heunggongvirae; Uroviricota; Caudoviricetes
Description: tRNA-Ser
Rfam family: tRNA
About the family: Transfer RNA (tRNA) molecules are approximately 80 nucleotides in length. Their secondary structure includes four short double-helical elements and three loops (D, anti-codon, and T loops).
Source: RNAcentral